Molecule: unclassified non-coding RNA, 337 nt
Filed under: soil metagenome
Description: partial contains 5.8S ribosomal RNA, internal transcribed spacer 2, and large subunit ribosomal RNA
Rfam family: 5.8S ribosomal RNA (bases 1-120)
Source: RNAcentral
GAUGAAGAACGCAGCGAAAUGCGAUAAGUAGUGUGAAUUGCAGAAUUCAGUGAAUCAUCGAAUCUUUGAACGCACAUUGCGCCCCUUGGUAUUCCAUGGGGCAUGCCUGUUCGAGCGUCAUUUGUACCUUCAAGCUCUGCUUGGUGUUGGGUGUUUGUCUCGCCUCUGCGUGUAGACUCGCCUCAAAACAAUUGGCAGCCGGCGUAUUGAUUUCGGAGCGCAGUACAUCUCGCGCUUUGCACUCAUAACGACGACGUCCAAAAGUACAUUUUUACACUCUUGACCUCGGAUCAGGUAGGGAUUCCCGCUGAACUUAAGCAUAUCAAUAAGCGGAGGA